AUUUAGCACGCGCGUGAACCGAGAUUGUGAAGAAAUAUUCGUCUCGCAAAUAUAAAAGUGCUUUGCGCGAACGAAACUGCUUGUCUGCAUGUAUUCAAACGUGCCCCUCCUCUCGCGCAAAACCCCAAUUUGCUCGAUCUCCUACUACCUCUCUGCGCGCGCUAAGAUCCUUCAGCUCACGCGCUCAAUCAGCGGAGUCUCCAAGUGGUGCUCCAAAUGGGCGGAGCUGGAGCUCCAGGCCCGCCUCGCUGGAUCUAAUGGGCGUGGCAGCAUCAAGUGCCCUGGCGCAGAUAGUGUUUGUUUGUAUCAAGGACUCCGGAGUAUUGCACGGCACAGAUGCAUCAGACAAUACUUUUGCGAGGACAGGAUCUUCUGCCGUCUUUAUCAAUGUGCCUACUGUAAAUAACAUGUAGCACAUGCGAAAUGCAGUUCAACAAAAAGAUUUUAUCAUCAUCAAGCAUGGUCUCAAGUGCAGGCAAUCCCCACACUUUCACUGCUGUUACUGUACAUCAACAGUAAUCAGAUGUGAUGCAUUUUAAAAUGUGUAAAAAUCCAGCCUCUGGACAACCUACCAUUGGCUGCAGCAAAUCCUUCAUCCCCAGCAUCAGCAUCCCCACCUUCAUUUUGCCCGGACAUUGGAACAUGUCUGUACUAAUUUUGAAGUGCAGCUUUUUAACUUGUUGCUUGUAAACUUUUUUAAUAUCUGUAGUGGAGUAUUAAGAAAAAACGCAGUACACAGUUGUCACAAAUAACCCACUUAGGGUCAGUUAAGUAAACUAAGUGCACGUUUUUAACAAAACUAUAAACAAACAGAAAGACGUAACUUAAAAAAACAAUCCCUAGGGGGUGGUUUCCGGACAGGGAUUAUUCUUAACCAGGACUAGGCCUUGGUUUAAUGAAAUAUAAAAAACAUGCCUUACUAAAAACAUUACUUGUGUGCAUUUUGAGGCAAAAUAAAGGGCACUGAUGCAUUUUAAGAUAUGUCAGUGCAAGUUGUUUUCAGUUUGGACAGCUCUUACAUUUAUUUUAUUCUAGGACUAGUCUAAUCCCUGUGUUACCAUUCAAUUUAAACAUUAAGCAAAUGUGACUUACACAAAUUAAAAAAAUUAUUCUUCCUUAGUGCUAGGAUACUAUUGUACAUUUCAACAUUUGAUAGAGACAUGACAAGAAAUAGAUCCUGAGUCAAGUAUGUACUGUAUUCACUAUAAUCCCAUCAUCGGAUAAGAUAACUGUUUUUUAAUAAUGAGGGAUGACAGAAAUUGAAAGACCGCUCCAGUAGUGAGAAACAUUGUGAUUAUGUGAAUGUGUGAAGGUAAAAAAACAUUCAAAG
Non-coding RNA from Paramisgurnus dabryanus, 1330 nucleotides. NCBI's taxonomy places the organism in Eukaryota, Metazoa, Chordata, Actinopteri, Cypriniformes, Cobitidae. The record is from RefSeq and is a predicted model, not a curated record.